GAGAUAUUAGUAUAAAUGAGUAUGUCUUUUUUUCGCAAAGGUGGUUAUAUAUCUUA
This 56-nucleotide transfer RNA is filed under the name Strongyloides cebus. RNAcentral's name for it is "tRNA-Glu". The record is from RNAcentral. Lineage: Eukaryota; Metazoa; Nematoda; Chromadorea; Rhabditida; Strongyloididae.